This 425-nucleotide ribosomal RNA is filed under the name uncultured bacterium. RNAcentral's name for it is "partial 16S ribosomal RNA". It matches the Rfam family "Bacterial small subunit ribosomal RNA", at positions 354 to 796 of the family's 1533-position model. The record is from RNAcentral.
GUGGGGAAUAUUGGGCAAUGGGCGAAAGCCUGACCCAGCAACGCCGCGUGAAGGAAGAAGGUUUUCGGAUCGUAAACUUCUAUCCUUGGUGAAGAUAAUGACGGUAGCCAAGAAGGAAGCCCCGGCUAACUACGUGCCAGCAGCCGCGGUAAUACGUAGGGGGCAAGCGUUGUCCGGAAUGAUUGGGCGUAAAGGGCGCGUAGGCGGCCCGGUAAGUCUGAAGUGAAAAUCCUGCUUUUAAGGUGGGAAUUGCUUUGGAUACUGUCGGGCUUGAGUGCAGGAGAGGUAAGCGGAAUUCCCGGUGUAGCGGUGAAAUGCGUAGAGAUCGGGAGGAACACCAGUGGCGAAGGCGGCUUACUGGACUGUAACUGACGCUGAGGCGCGAAAGUGUGGGGAGCAAACAGGAUUAGAUACCCGGGUAGUCC